Molecule: ribosomal RNA, 415 nt
Filed under: uncultured bacterium
Lineage: Bacteria
Description: bacterial SSU rRNA
Rfam family: Bacterial small subunit ribosomal RNA
Source: RNAcentral
AUGCAGCCAUGCCGCGUGUGUGAAGAAGGCCUUCGGGUUGUAAAGCACUUUCAGUAGGGAGGAAGGUAGUGUAGUUAACACCUGCAUUAUUUGACGUUACCUACAGAAGAAGCACCGGCUAACUCCGUGCCAGCAGCCGCGGUAAUACGGAGGUGCGAGCGUUAAUCGGAAUUACUGGGCGUAAAGCGCAUGCAGGCGGCCUGUUAAGUCAGAUGUGAAAGCCCCGGGGCUUAACCUCGGAAUUGCAUUUGAAACUGGCAGGCUAGAGUCUUGUAGAGGGGGUAGAAUUUCAGGUGUAGCGGUGAAAUGCGUAGAGAUCUGAAGGAAUACCAGUGGCGAAGGCGGCCCCCCUGGACAAAGACUGACGCUCAGAUGCGAAAGCGUGGGGAGCAAACAGGAUUAGAUACCCUGGUAG